Molecule: ribosomal RNA, 521 nt
Filed under: uncultured Glomus
Lineage: Eukaryota; Fungi; Glomeromycota; Glomeromycetes; Glomerales; Glomeraceae
Description: SSU rRNA
Rfam family: Eukaryotic small subunit ribosomal RNA
Source: RNAcentral
CAGCCGCGGUAAUUCCAGCUCCAAUAGCGUAUNUUAAAGUUGCUGCAGUUAAAAAGCUCGUAGUUGAAUUUCGGGACCAUCAUGUCGGUCGUGCCUAGGUACGUACUGGUAUUGUUGGUUUCUCCCUCCUGACGAACCCAUGAUGUCAUUUAUUUGGUGUUGUGGGGAAUCAGGACUGUUACUUUGAAAAAAUUAGAGUGUUUAAAGCAGGCUCACGCUUGAAUACAUUAGCAUGGAAUAAUGAAAUAGGACGUUCGAUCCCUAUUUUGUUGGUUUCUAAGAUUGACGUAAUGAUUAAUAGGGAUAGUUGGGGGCAUUAGUAUUCAAUUGUCAGAGGUGAAAUUCUUGGAUUUAUUGAAGACUAACUACUGCGAAAGCAUUUGCCAAGGAUGUUUUCAUUAAUCAAGAACGAAGGUUAGGGGGAUCGAAGACGAUCAGAUACCGUCGUAGUCUUAACCAUAAACUAUGCCGACUAGGGAUCGGAUGAUGUUAAUUUUUAAUGACUCAUUCGGCGCCUUACG